RNAcentral lists this transfer RNA (71 nucleotides) under Stegodyphus mimosarum. It matches the Rfam family "tRNA". Rfam says of the family: Transfer RNA (tRNA) molecules are approximately 80 nucleotides in length. Their secondary structure includes four short double-helical elements and three loops (D, anti-codon, and T loops). Lineage: Eukaryota; Metazoa; Arthropoda; Arachnida; Araneae; Eresidae. The record is from Rfam by way of RNAcentral.
GUUUUCGUGGUGCAACGGUAGCACACUCGGAGGGUAUUCAGGAGGUUCAGGUUCGAGUCCCGGCGAGGACA